This 496-nucleotide ribosomal RNA is filed under the name uncultured bacterium. RNAcentral's name for it is "partial 16S ribosomal RNA". It matches the Rfam family "Bacterial small subunit ribosomal RNA", at positions 28 to 506 of the family's 1533-position model. The record is from RNAcentral.
GAUGAACGCUGGCGGCGUGCCUAAUACAUGCAAGUCGAGCGAACGGACGAGAAGCUUGCUUUUCUGAUGUUAGCGGCGGACGGGUGAGUAACACGUGGAUAACCUACCUAUAAGACUGGGAUAACUUCGGGAAACCGGAGCUAAUACCGGAUAAUAUUUUGAACCGCAUGGUUCAAAAGUGAAAGACGGUCUUGCUGUCACUUAUAGAUGGAUCCGCGCUGCAUUAGCUAGUUGGUAAGGUAACGGCUUACCAAGGCAACGAUGCAUAGCCGACCUGAGAGGGUGAUCGGCCACACUGGAACUGAGACACGGUCCAGACUCCUACGGGAGGCAGCAGUAGGGAAUCUUCCGCAAUGGGCGAAAGCCUGACGGAGCAACGCCGCGUGAGUGAUGAAGGUCUUCGGAUCGUAAAACUCUGUUAUUAGGGAAGAAAAUAUGUGUAAGUAACUGUGCGAAUCUUGACGGUACCUAAUCAGAAAGCCACGGCUAACUACGU